Molecule: ribosomal RNA, 497 nt
Filed under: uncultured bacterium
Lineage: Bacteria
Description: partial 16S ribosomal RNA
Rfam family: Bacterial small subunit ribosomal RNA
Source: RNAcentral
GAUGAACGCUGGCGGCGUGCCUAAUACAUGCAAGUCGAGCGAACGGACGAGAAGCUUGCUUCUCUGAUGUUAGCGGCGGACGGGUGAGUAACACGUGGAUAACCUACCUAUAAGACUGGGAUAACUUCGGGAAACCGUAGCUAAUACCGGAUAAUAUUUUGAACCGCAUGGUUCAAAAGUGAAAGACGGUCUUGCUGUCACUUAUAGAUGGAUCCGCGCUGCAUUAGCUAGUUGGUAAGGUAACGGCUUACCAAGGCAACGAUGCAUAGCCGACCUGAGAGGGUGAUCGGCCACACUGGAACUGAGACACGGUCCAGACUCCUACGGGAGGCAGCAGUAGGGAAUCUUCCGCAAUGGGCGAAAGCCUGACGGAGCAACGCCGCGUGAGUGAUGAAGGUCUUCGGAUCGUAAAACUCUGUUAUUAGGGAAGAACAUAUGUGUAAGUAACUGUGCACAUCUUGACGCUACCUAAUCAGAAAGCCACGGCUAACUACGUG